This 19883-nucleotide long non-coding RNA is filed under the name Coffea arabica (coffee). RNAcentral's name for it is "long non-coding RNA (CARA_LNC002170)". Lineage: Eukaryota; Viridiplantae; Streptophyta; Magnoliopsida; Gentianales; Rubiaceae. The record is from RNAcentral.
UUUUUUUUUUUUUUUUUUUUUGUGAUUUGAGACACUUUGAUGAUUUUACCGUCCAAAGCGUGUAGAAUAAAAAUUAAUUCCCCGUCUUACCAUGAUGCAACCAUUGAGUAGGUAAAAUUAGAGCUGGCAAUUAUAUCCAAAACCCAACAAUCCAUCCAACUCCCUCACUAAUUUGAGAGGUUGGAUUGGAUAAGUUGGGUUUUGGGUUAAUUUUGGGUUGGGUAAUAAAGACUCAUAUAUAUUUUGGGUGGUUUGGGUAUUUGUGUUAGGCACCCAUUACCUAAUUUAAGUUAAAAAAAUAAACUAACAAAUUAAAAUCAAGAAGCAAAAAAAAAAUGACCAGCUUUGUUGGAUCAAGCAAAACAUCCGCUAGCCAAGUUGUCCAAAAUCUGCCAAAUUAGCUAUUCCGGACACUCACAGAACUCCAAAAGCUGUUACAGUCCAAAUUCAUUACAUGGUCGCUGGGGCUUCAUUUGGCUAAUUUGUCCGGAAUAGCUAAUAGUUCAUGAAUUUGGCAGAUUUCUUAGAAAUAUGUCCGAAAUAGCUAAUGCUAAAUCAAGUAACAAGACUUAGAAAAUUGUAUAUUGGUAUGCCAUUUUUCAUGCUAUAUUCAACUUGAACCAAAAUUGUUGCUUCGGUCUCUUAGUUUGGACCAAAGCUAUACCCAAUUUAAAAAUCCUUACUUGUAUAAAAAAUAGUGAGUUCAUCCAAGUAAUUUACAUAGCUAGUAUGUGUGUGUAUUUGUGAAAGUAUAUUAGUGUGUAUUGUAAUGUGUUUGCAUGUGUAAAAAUAACGUAUUUCAAAAGAGUUUAAAAAGUGAGUGUGUGUGUGUGUCUAUGAGUGUUUUAGUGUGUAAAAAUAUGUCUAUCUAUGUGAAAAUGUGUUUAUGUGUGUGAAUUUUUUUUUUGUAUGUAAAAAUAUAUUUGAGAGAGUUAUGUAUCAAAUUCUAUUAAUUAAUAUAUUGGGUCAUAGGUUUCCCAAUUGGGCUAUCAUAUGCUUCCAAGAAUCAUGAGCUCAAACAUAAAUUGUUAAUCAAUUCUAUCAAAAUGAUGGAGUUUGAACCUCAAAUAGAAAAAAAAAAAAAAAAAAAAGAUAACAAAGUUCCUUGACGGCAAAUUGACACGUGUUUGAAAAGAAAUAGCACAAAACCAUCAUUAAAUUCAGCGAAACGAAAUUACACAAAAUAGGCCAACAGCAAAAUAUCUGAAUAAUCUCAUUGAUUGUUUCCACCAUAUCUUGACAAGAAAAGAGCCAUCGAUCCUUUCCAACAUUUACCUCCAUCUUCCACAAAAAUAUUAAAGAAAGCCAGACCGCACAGAUGAUCAAUUACAAUCUAAAGAGGAAAAACCACCGUAGCAUGUACUCCCUAAUGAUAUCAUUAAGAAAAAAAAAAUAGAGCAAUAAUUAGUUGUUUGCUCAUCAAUUUCAAUGUGCUUGUGCAUGCAUUACAGGCAACUGAAGUACAAAAAAGCUACCAAAUGGUAAAUAUAAAUUAAAUUUGUUUAAAAAUGAAAAGCAUGAUUAUUUCUACAAGCCAAUUAACGGUAAUGACAAAAAAGGAAAUUACCAGAUAUUGCACCAGCUGAUGCCCUUCAAUCUAUGAUGAUCUCCAGAUUCACAUUUCCAUAAUUUUUCUGUGCUUCUUCAAUUUCCCGUACUAAAGAUUUGACACGAUCUCCGCAAUGGUCGAUCUCAAUCGUUUCAAGAGUUGAUAUACGCCCUAAACAAGAAGGCAUCAUUUUCAAAAUACGAGUACUGUCGAGAUUUAAUUGCUGAAGACACAGGAAGUAAUCAUCACUGUCAGGGUCCGUCUCUGUCCACUCCACAACCUUAAAAUAUGUCAAAGUCAAGACCCUGAGUUUAGGGAAUCCUCCUUCCAUCAGCUCCCAUCUUUGGCCCUCCAUUGACUGCAGUCUUAAUUCGAGGACUUCAAGGUUGGGUAGUUCUUCAAUCAAUGACAUUUUACUACAGGGAAGACCCAGAUUUUCAAGACUCAACUUCUUCAAAUUCAUGGGAAAGGGAACCUCAACAUGUUCCCAUGAACCUGAGGAGUAAUUGCCCCACCAGGUGAGUGAUUCUAGGCAUUCUAGAUGACUCAUGUUCAACACUCCAUUUCCAGUGUGAUAAUCGGAAAUUUUAAGUUGGCGAAUGUUAGGAAUCCUUCUCAAUAAGUUCUCUCCCUCUUUAAAAAGACACAAGCAAGAGAGUGUGUCUAAAUUGGGUAAAGUGGAGAGGUUUUCAACACCGUUGUCGUUGGAAGGCAGAUGAAUAGCAACGCGCCCUCUUACAUGUAUAUGCCUCAACUUCUUCAUGUUCCAGAUGCUAUCUGGCAAUGAAACGACCAAGUUGGAAUGUAGCCAAAAGGUUUCCAAAUGUGAGAGCUUGGCUAUAGAUGGUGGAAUGAAUUGCAUGUCCUCUGCUUCAAGGGCUAAGUACCUCAAACAAAGAAGUGACUCGACUUCAGCUGGAAGCUCCUUCAGCCUUAGGUUAAUGCCCUCUAAAUUCAGAACGUUAAGAUGUUUGUAGAUGCAAAAAAGGAAGGAGAUAUUAAACAACUUAUCAUAUCUUGGAGUAGCAUCAAAGAGUAGCAGACUGGCUAAAUGCGGACAAAAUAGCCUUGACUUUAUAAAAUCUUCUACACUGGAGCAAAUGGACAACCGAGGUAGGUUGGGAGGCUCAUUAAAGGUAGAAAGCUCAUCAUAUCCUCCCAGGACCUGAAGGAAUUUCUUUUCUUUCGCCUUGCCCUUACAGAACUCAAAUAUCAAAUCGUGAAUGUAACAAGUUUUGACUCCACCAAUGGACCUGUUCUUACCUACCAUAACUAGGUUUCGGCCAAUUAGGUCCAUCAGAUAUUCUUCUGCAAUAUCCUCUGAUUUCUCUCCUUCAAUUAUUUCCACAAAUCCUUCUGCAAUCCAUAGACACGUCAACUUCUUGGCACCAAUUUUUUCAUCUUCUGGAAAUGCAGCAAAAUACAGCAAGCAUGCCUUCAAGUGAUAUGGUAAAUGCUCAUAACUGAGCUCCAAUGACUUCUUCCACUGGUCUGUACCAGACACCAUGGUUGAAGUUAAACUUUCAGCAAACUUUUCCCAAAGCAAAAUAUCAUGCUUUAUUGUUGCUAGAAUUCCAGCUACAACAACAACUGCAAAGGGUAAUCCCCAGCACUUUUUGACAAUCUCCAUUCCCAAUUCAUGCAACGCUUGAGGACAUUCCUCUUCUUCUCCAAACACCUUCUUCUGCAGCAAUUCGAAACUCUCUUCGACAGUAAGGCAGCGAAUCUUGUGAGGUUCUCUACCAUAUUGAACCUGUGAAGCUACAUUAGAAGAUCGACUCGUGAAGAUGAUUCUACUUUGGUUUUUGUCAUCUGGGAAUGAAAUUCUCAGCUCAUUCCAUACCUUAAUGUCCCAGACAUCAUCAAAAACAACAAGAUACCGAUUCUUCAAUAGCCUUUGAUAGAGCUUUUCAAGCAACGCAUGUUUAUCCAGAUUUUGAAACUCAUCCUUCCUAGAAUGUUUGCCAUCAGAGCACAAAAUUUGAAGUAACACAUUUUUCAUGUUAAAUUCUUGAGAAACAGUACACCAAAGACGAAUGUGGAAGUGACAGGUUACUGAACUAUCAUUGUAAACUUUUUUGGCUAAAGUUGUCUUACCAAGCCCAGCCAUUCCCACAAUGGGAACAAUUUCCACCUGUUUUGAUCCCCAUCUAAGUCGUCCAAUUACUUUUGCUGCCUCAUCAUCAAGACCAACCAUGAUUUCACGAGCUAUUGGCAUUUUACCUUUUGAUAGCAUGCGGCUGGAAGUCUGGCUAACUUCUGGUGCUCUUAAGCUAUGAGAGGAAUUAGGAAGACUCUGUAUAGUACUUGAGAUAAGUGGUUCAAUUACUUUUUCUGCCUCAUCAUCAAGACCAACCAUGACUUCAUGGUCUAUUGGCAUUUUACCUUUUGAUAGCAUGCGGCUGGAAGUCCGGCUAACUUCUGGUGCUCUUAAGCUAUGAGAGGAAUUAGGAAGACUCUCUAUAGUACUUGAGCCACUGAUCUGAUCCUUAAAAUUCUUGAUAUGGAUGUUGGUACUAGCCAGCAUAUCACAAAAAUCAAGAACCUGGGUGGAUCCUGAGAAGCUAACUUCUCCUUCUAUCACUCUGCUCAGAGUGGGCGUGAAUAUUAUAAUGCCUGCCUCACCAAGGAGAGCUCCAAUUUUUUCAUUUUGUUCAUCCAUCAUCUCAUGAUGCUCCCUUAAAAUGCUUCUCAAAAACCUCAGGCCUGCAUAGAGUAUUCGCAUUUGAUUUUUCAUAGAAUCUACAAAGCUAGAGCUGCAGCAUAACAACUCCCAGAGACGACUUAUCAGAGAAUCAUUGAAGUUGUUCAAUAUCCGCUCAUCCAUCACUGCUGUAUGUAAUGAUGCUGAGGAGUUUGAAGCUGCAAGUACUUCCUUAUAAAUCUCGUAGACAUGAAAAUCAACCGCUCUGAUGCUGAGGAGUUUGAAGCUGCAAGUACUUCUGUACUCAACAUUUUUCCAAAAGGACCACAUGUAAGAGAGGCGUGCUGCGGUCAAAGCCACCACUUCAAAGUGAGAUAAUAGCAAGGCAGGAAUAUCUGCGGUUCCUCGCAUUUUGGCAAAGGGAAUAAAGCUUUUCAAGAAUGUCAGCUUUGCUUCAAGAUCUUGGACUUGAGCAGUCAAAGGAGCACUCAAAGGAUCAUAUUUAUGAAUUCGCCAAUUCAUAUAGUCAUUGGUCAAAUCUGCUAGAUUUUGCAGGAUGAGGUCUAUGAAUUCCAACAGUUCAUCAUCUGUCAUACAAGAAUUUGAUUGAAAUGACCUGCUGCUUGCCAAAGCAAGGUAAAUUUGGAUGAUUUCUUGCUUGAGUGAUGUGAUCUUUUUCUCAAUUUCGCGGAACACUCCACGAGCAAAAAUAGAAUUGUUAAAGUCAAGCCACAGCAGCAAUUCUUGACUUCUUGCUGCAGCCGCAAUUCUUGAUUCUUGACUGUGGCAGAAUUUUGUAAUCCCACAUCGCCAGAAGCUGAGGGAAUAGCCUCCAUUGUUUCCUAUAAAUAGAGAAGGCCUUUGAGAAGUUUAAGUGCACCACUCAAGAGAGUUAUAUGGGCUAUUAGCUUCUUGAGUCAUCUAGCCCAUUUAGUCAAAUAUUUUAGGCUCUCUUGUAUUGUGUUUAGGAAUAUUUCCUAAAUCUUUUAUAAGUGCCUUUUGGCCUAGGAACCACUUUCCUACGGCUUUUGUAUUUCUUCUUCAUAGUUGAAAUAUUGCUCCUCCCUCGCCCGUGGACGUAGGUCAAUUUGACCGAACCACGUAAAUCUUCUGUAUCUUUUAUUUGCUUUGUUAUCCGUCUUUAUAUGGUCGGUUUUACCGCCUAAUUAUUAUAUGGCCGGUAUCUACCGCCUAUCUAUUAUAUGGUCGGUUAUACCGCCUACUUUGUGCUAACUUGAGUUUGUCUAUUUCCUGGCCCGGUCCUUAACAAACUGGUAUCAGAGCUGGUUAUAUUUUGCAAGACAGUUUUAUCUGGUGGGUCCCGUUCAUCUGGUGGGGUCCGUCCAUCCUGUGGGGCCCACUCAUUCUGUGGGGUCCGUUUAUCCGUGGGGCCCACUCACCUUGUGGGGUCCGAUCAUCCCCGUGGGGCCCGCUUAUCUCGUGGGGCCCGCUCACCCUGUGGCCCGCUCACGAGACUUGCAUAUUUGUUUGGCCAGUUUUUUGAGACAAACUUCAAGUUACAGAAUUUGUGGCAACAAUGACGAUAACAAAGACGGUUGUCGAGAAAUUCGACAGGAAUGUCAACUUCGGAAUGUGGCAGCUCAAGAUGGAAGCCAUUCUUGUUCAAGACGGAGUUGAUCUAGCGAUUCACGGAAUCGAGAACAAACCAGAAGAAGUCAAGGAUGCGGAUUUCGCCGAUAUGGAUAAGAAGGCCAGAUCCAGCAUAAUCUUAAAUCUCUCCGAUGAGGUAUUGCGUGAGGUAGCAACGGAGACUUCGGCCAAGGCUAUGUGGGAUAAAUUGAAAGCCUUGUAUAUGAAGAAGACAGUCGAGAAUCGACUAUAUCUGAAGCAGAGUUUGUACAUGCUUCGGAUGUCUGAAGGUACAUCUAUACUCUCCCAUCUUGAUAAAUUUGAUUCCAUUAUUAUGGAUUUGGGGAAUAUAGAUUCGAAAAUUGAUGAUGAAGAUCAAGCCCUAUUACUUUUGUGUUCCCUUCCCCAGUCUUUUAAGCAUUUCCGCGAUACUAUGAUUUAUGGAAAGGAAACAAUUUCGUAUCGGGAAAUUAAAUCUGCAUUAAAAUCUAAAGAGCAGAUAGAUAGGGACAUUACUGGGGAAACUAGUGGGAGUCAAGCCGAUGGCUUGUUUGUUCGGGGUAGAUCUGAAAAGAGAAACACAGAAAAUAGAAGUAGAUCCAAAUCCAGACAUAAAAAUGUGGUGUGCAAUUAUUGUAAAAAGAAGGGCCAUGUUAUCUCUGAUUGCUUUAAAUUGAAAAAUAAAGAAAAGCAAAAAGGGAAAUUUGUUGAGAAAAAUACUGAAUCCGCUGAGGCUAGUAUAGCAGCUGAUGAGAAUGAUGGAACUAUUUUCUGUGCAACGGAAAAUAAUUUUAGGUCUAACAAUGAGUGGAUUUUAGAUUCGGGUUGUUCAUAUCAUAUGUGUCCCAAUAGGGACUGGUUUUCAACAUAUGAAUCAGCUGAAGGUGGAGUUGUCUUAAUGGGCAACAACGCUGUUUGUAAAGUUGUUGGCAAAGGCACAAUCCGGAUUAAAAUGUACGAUGGUAUUGUGAGGACGCUCACAGAUGUUAGACAUGUUCCAGAUUUGAAGAAAAAUCUCAUCUCUUUGGGCACUCUUGAGUCUAUCGGGUGCAGGUAUUCAGGUGGAGACGGAGUUCUCAAAAUUACUCGAGGAGCUCUUGUUGUUAUGAAGGCACACAGAUCUGGUACUUUGUAUAUUUUGCAGGGAUCUACUGUUACAGGUGCUGCUGCUGUUUCAACAUCAUCUUUGUCAGAUACAGACAUCACCAAAUUAUGGCAUAUGCGUUUGGGGCACAUGAGCGAAAAAGGCUUAGGCAUACUAAGCAAAAGAGGGACUUCUUGUGGUCAAAGUACCGGGCCAUUGGAAUUCUGUGAACAUUGUAUUUUUGGGAAGCAGAAAAGAGUCAGCUUCAGUUCACCAGCAAUUCACAAGACAAAAGGUACUCUUGAUUACAUUCAUUCAGAUCUAUGGGGUCCUUCUCGUGCUCCUUCUAAAGGUGGUGCCAGGUACAUGUUGACUUUCAUUGAUGAUUAUUCAAGGAAAGUUUGGGUAUAUUUUCUUAAGCAUAAAAAUGAUGUUUUCCUAACUUUCAAGCAAUGGAAAGUUUUGAUUGAGAAGCAAACAGGAAAACACAUUAAGCGGUUGAGAACAGAUAAUGGCAUGGAAUUUUGUGGAGGUGAAUUUAAUGAAUUCUGCAAGAAUGAAGGAAUUGUUCGGCAUCACACCGUCAGGAUGACGCCUCAACAAAAUGGUGUGGCCGAACGUAUGAACAGAACGCUUUUGGAGAGAGCAAGAUGUAUGAUCUCCAAUGCAGGGUUGACAAACGACUUUUGGGCAGAGGCGAUCAAUAUGGCCUGUUAUAUUGUCAACCGUUCUCCUUCUGCAUCUCUUGAUUUCAAAACUCCUGAGGAAGUUUGGUCAGGUACUCCUGCUGAUUACUCCAAUUUAAAAGUUUUUGGGUGUCCAGCAUACAUGCACGUGAAUGAUGGAAAAUUGGAGCCUAGGGCUAAAAAGUGCAUUUUUCUUGGGUAUGCUUCUGGGGUGAAAGGAUACAGAUUAUGGUAUCCUGAUCCCAAAUCCCCAAAAUUUGUAAUCAGUAGAGAUGUUACUUUUGAUGAAUUAUCUAUGUUAUCUUCCAAGAAGGAGUCUUCUAGUCCUUGUACUACUGAUAGUACACAGAAGCAGGUGGAGCUUGAUAUUGGCAGUUCUGGUCCUUCUCAGACCAAAUCUUCUAUUCAAAUGCCAGUAGAUACACCUGAAUCUACUGUUGAAGAUAGUUCUGAAGAAGAAGAGUAUUCCAUAGCCAGAGAUAGAGCAAGGAGAGACAUUCGACCACCACAAAGAUAUGCAAAUUUAGUUGCAUAUGCUUUAUCUGUUGCAGAAGAAACUGAUGCAAUUGGUGAGCCUUCCACCUAUUCAGAAGCAGUUUCUUGUGAUGAUUCUGCAAAGUGGUUGAUUGCGAUGAAUGAAGAAAUUGAAUCUCUUCAUCGUAAUGAAACUUGGGUUCUUGUAAAGCCGCCGUCAGCUAAGAAAAUUGUUGGAUGCAAAUGGGUCUUCAAGAAGAAGGAAGGUAUUCCAGGGGUUGAAGAUGCAAGGUAUAAAGCACGAUUGGUUGCAAAGGGCUAUAGUCAGGUACAAGGUGUUGAUUUUAAUGAUGUGUUUUCACCUGUUGUUAAACAUAGCUCUAUUCGUGUUUUGCUUGCUUUAGUUGCCAUGUAUAAUUUGGAGUUAGAACAGCUCGACGUUAAGACAGCUUUCUUACAUGGCGAACUUGAAGAACAAAUUUAUAUGAGACAACCCCAGGGUUUUGAAAUUGAAGGUAAAGAAGACCAUGUUUGCUUAUUGAAGAAAUCCUUAUAUGGAUUGAAGCAGUCUCCAAGACAAUGGUAUAAGAGGUUUGAUUCCUUUAUGUUGGGUCAUGGUUAUUCAAGGAGCAUGUAUGAUAGUUGUGUUUACUUCCGGAAGUUAAAUGAUGGUUCUUUCAUUUACUUAUUGUUAUAUGUUGAUGACAUGCUCAUUGCUGCCAAGAAUUUGUCAGAAAUUCACACCUUGAAACUGCAGUUAAAUAGUGAAUUUGAAAUGAAAGAUUUGGGAGCAGCUAAGAAAAUUCUUGGCAUGGAUAUCAAUCGAGAUCGAGGAGUAGGAAAGUUAUUUUUGACCCAGAAAAAUUACCUUGAGAAAGUCUUGGAGCGUUUUGGCAUGAAAGAUGCUAAACCAGUAUCUACUCCUCUUGCUAGCCAUUUUCGGCUAUCUGCUGCUCAAUCACCAAAAUCAGAUGAAGAGGAAGAUUAUAUGGCACGGGUUCCUUAUUCCAGUGCAGUCGGCAGUAUUAUGUAUGCAAUGGUUUGUACUCGUCCAGAUAUUGCACAAGCAGUCAGUGUUGUUAGCAGAUAUAUGUCUUGCCCUGGUAAAACACAUUGGCAGGCUGUGAAGUGGAUUCUCAGAUACUUGCGAGGUACUUCAAAUGUAUGUUUGGAGUUUGGAAGAAAUAAUAACACUUUGGUUGGUUUUGUAGACUCAGACUACGCUGGGGAUCUUGACAGGAGAAGAUCACUUUCAGGCUAUGUAUUUUGCAUUGGCAGUUGUGCUGUUAGUUGGAAAGCUACUCUACAACCUGUCGUAGCUUUGUCUACUAUUGAAGCAGAAUAUAUGGCUGUGACCGAGGCAAUCAAAGAAGCCUUGUGGUUGAAGAGUUUAUUUAGCGAGUUAAGUCUAUAUCAAGGUGUUACUGAUAUUCACUGUGAUAGUCAAAGUGCCAUACACUUGACUAAAGAUCAGAUGUAUCACGAGAGAACGAAGCAUAUUGAUGUGAAGUAUCACUUCAUUCGGGAUAUCAUUGAUGAGGGAAAAGUCCUUAUUCAGAAAAUCAAUACUAAGGACAAUCCAGCCGAUAUGUUUACGAAGCCUCUUCCAAAUUACAAGUUCAAGCAGUGCUUGGACUUGGUUGGUGUUCGUUAUUUGUGAUUUAGACCCAUUGGGUCUUAUGUGGAGAAGGUGGAGCGAUUUUACUAUUGACGAUGGUGGGACUCAAAAUUAUGCCAAGGUGGAGAUUUGUUGAGCCGCAAUUCUUCAGCCGCAAUCCUUGACUGUGGCAGAAUUUCCUCAUCCCACAUCGCCUGAAGCAGAAGGAAAGCCUCCCAAAUACAACUAUAAAUAGGGGGCUCAUAUGAAGGUUUCAAUCGCACCACUCAAGAGAGUUAUAUGGGCUAUUAGCUUCUUGAGUCAUCUAGCCCAUUCAGUCAAAUAUUUUAGGCUCUCUUGUUUUGAGUUUAGGAAUAUUUUCUAAACUAUUUUGUAAGUGCCUAUUGGCCUAGGAACCACUUUCCUAUGGCUUUUGUAUUUCUUCUUCAUAAUAGAAAUAUUGUUCCUCCCUCGCCCGUGGACGUAGGUCAAUUUGACCGAACCACGUAAAUCUUCUGUGUCUUUUAUUUGCUUUGUUAUCCGUCUUUAUAUGGUCGGUUUUACCGCCUAAUUAUUAUAUGGCCGGUAUCUACCGCCUAUCUAUUAUAUGGUCGGUUAUACCGCCUACUUUGUGCUAACUUGAGUUUGUCUAUUUCCUGGCCCGGUCCUUAACAAGAAUUGUGAAUAACCCAUUCAUAUUUUUCCAUUUCUAAUCUAAGGCAAAGAGACAGAAUGUCCUCCUCGGAUUUGUGAAAGGUAUCUUCGAUACAAGAUAAGAAAGAUGGAAGACUCACCUUCUUCACAACAUUGUCAGAUUGCAAGUACAAAUGAACAAGGCUCCACUUUCUAGCACACAUAAGAAACGUUUUGAGAAAUUUCAUGUGUCUGAUUGCAUCACGAACAUCCAAAAGAAGAUUACCACCAACAUGCGAAAGAGAAAAAUUGUCUCGGAAUCUGUUCAGAAGCAACUCUAGACCAAGUAAGACACGAUCGAUGCUGCAAGUGGUGGCCAUCUCCAUCUCUUUUCGAGGGAUUUUCGUCAGUUUCACUCUCAAAUUUUAAGAGAGAAACAAAUCUCACUAACUGCAGAGCUAGCAAAGCAUUUCUUUCCUGAAAAUGGCUUAUUUGUUUCUGGUGAGAAGGUGAAGAAGAGUAUUGAGACAAUCAACCAUUCAACCAGGUGGAAUUGGCAUCAAGGUGGACCCCAGGCAAUGAUAAUCAAUUAUUCAACUAGGUGGAAUUGGAGGUAGGCACCCAAAAUCCAAAUUCAUCUUGAACUAAUCACAAAUGGAGGAAAUUGAUAAACAAGAUUAGUUGACUCUGUCAUCAACAUUUUAUUAGGGAAAUUUGAUAUUAGGGAUCACAUAAAAGUCUAUGUUUUAAGACAAUAACAGCAGUGGUUAGGGUGAUUUAAGACACUUUGAUGAUAUUAUUGCCUCAAUAAAGUAGUGGGUCCGAUUUCAUAGAAUUAUUCGGAAUGAUUGUAUUCCAUUCUUGCGCGUCCCUGUUUUAAUAUGUUUUUUUUUUGCUUCAAGCAUCCACAGUUUAAUAUGUUAAACUUUAUAAUUAGGAAGAACAGAAAACAAAGAAACAUCAAAAUAUAAAUGAUCCAAGAGACGUCACAAUAUAAAUGAUCAAAAUAUAAUGAACCUUCAAGCUAGCUCUCUAAUUUUCUUCAAUUGUUUUCUUUCUUUAGCAAACCACUAAAUUUGAUCACUUUCUCCUCUAAUUAUCUCGUAUUAAUAAUCAUGACCAUUGAUCUUGGAGAUUAAUAACCAUGACCAACAAAGUAAAAGGUAUGAGAAAAAAUAAUUGAGGGCUUCUUCAACCCUUGAUAUUGUGGAAGUAGAGAAUUUGGGAUUUCUGCAAUUACUAGUGUCAAUUAUAUCAUAAAAUAUAUGCAUUACAAUAAUAAAUGUAAACUCUAAGAUAAUAAAUAUAAACAGUAAAACGAUAACCUGCAAAAUUAAUGUUACCAAUAUACAAUGGUCAAAGAAAAUGAUUGGAUUAAAGAAGUGAAAAUUGCUACUAAUUUGUAGUAGUACUUCUUUUCAAGAGUCAGGACUUAAAUGCACGCUCAUUAUUGUACAAAAUUAUCUACUUAUUUCAUAAACACAUUUUUCAAUCAUUUUUUUUUAUUUCAUAUAUAUCACAUCAAAAAAAUAAUAUAAUACUUUUUAAAAAAAUUAUUCCAAAUAAUCUCAUAUUCAAAAGCAAGUUAUAUGCCCAUUUCAGUGUUACUUGGGCCAUUGGAAAUUAAUUCUAGUCUUCUCAUUAGUCAUUAGUCUUUUUUCCACAUUCUGUAGGGGUGGGCACGGGUCGGGUACCCGCCCCGAACGCUAAUUGGCUGACCCGACCAUAACAUAUCGGGUCACUAUUUUUUUGACCCUAAUCCGCUCCGAACUUCCUCGGAUACCCGAAAAAUAGGGGCGGGUCAUAGGGUACCCGCCCCUAUUUAAAGAAUGCAAUUUUUCUCUAAAACUCAUAAGACAUAAGAUGAACCUGCUGGACGAUAGCAUCAUUCAACAAAAAAAAAGGCAACAACAUCAUUCAAAUUCAAACUAGACAAAGAUGGAUCCAUUGAUGAUGAAUGAUCAACAUUUGGGCUUGCAGCUGUAGUAGCUGUAUUAUCCCCUGUACUUGACAUCUGAAAAAUUCAAAAAACAAAUCAAAUGAAAAUCCCACUUCUCUACCAUAUGCGCAGCUAAUACAUAGCUUAGAAACUCCUAUAAAACCAUGUGCAGAUUCAUUUUAGAAAGAAAAGGGCAGUUGGAAUAAUCUUAAGAACAAUAACAAAAAAUUGCUCACAAUCCUCAGUUGCUUGGCCUGCUAAUUUAAAUAUUGAGUGCAAAGUGUAGCUAAACCCAAAGGGGGAAAAAUGUCCAAUGUAUGAAAAGAAAAAGCAAACCAAUAAUCUCAAAAAAAAAAAAAAAGAGUUUUACACUAUUACAACUUCAGCAGGUAUAGAGGUAUUAUCUUAGAAUUUGCACAUUGAAUUGAAUUAUGUUACACAAAAAAGCUAAAGUAAUUAUGCAGCUACAUUGCACUGGAGGAAAAUAACGAACGAUGUAGAGUUUCCAGUGUUUGUUCAUGUCUUAGUAUCUAUAUGCAAGAAUCAAUAAUAUUCUUGAGAAUUAGAAUCAGUAAAUUUUAUGGUACAUCAUAUCUCUUUAAACCUUAGUUGGAUAACUGUGUAAUUUACAACUUAAAGUUUUUGGUUUAAUCUGAAUUUUUGGUUUGAACUCGUCUUGUAGACAUUAGAGCUGAUUACGGUACAUGGACACACUUGUGAAGCAUUUAAUUGAAUAUUUUUUUUUAAUUAGAAACUCAGGACAAAGUGCAGUAUGUUCUUAUUUUUCAGAACCUUAGGCACAAUUUCUCCCACCGUUCUUGAAUUUCAGAACAUAACCUAAGCCUUACGCAUAUGCGUGCAACAGUCCACCAAAAGUACAGAAAAAGCCAUGUAAAGUAAAACUCUCUGCAAAUGAACAACUAGCCUAUGAGAGUUGGUCUAAGACCUCAAAUGUCAAAGCCAUGAGAGUAUCUCCAUGGAAAAUUAUGGCCAGAAUUUGUUUCCGUACCUGUACCAUUUAUGCCGAUUGCCGACCCCCUUUUUGGUUUUUUUUUUUUCUUUUUUCUGUAUGGGUCCAGCAAUUCCUAAUCUUAAUUGUACAACCCAGUUUCGAUUUGGACGAAAGAUCAGAAUCCAUGUAGCCAAUUCGACAAAUGCAUAGACGUACACAAUACACAUAGAUGCAGAAUAGUUUUGCAGAAAGAAUUGAACUUAAAAGAAAAUAGUUAUUGAAAAACCUUGAUAGCUAAACCACCCGGCUCCGGCGUCGGCGGCGUCAGGCGACCUUUUGGCAGCGUCCCUUUACUCGAAGUCGAAGGUAGAAAAGGACGACAACGGAGAAACAGGGCUGAAGAGAAAGGGAUUCGAUUCAGUUAGGCAGUUUGAGGAGUUUUAACGGUAGUUUUCGGCCCUAGGUUUGAGAGACAAGAGCAUCGGCCAUUGAAGAGUGAAGAGUGAAGAGUGUCGACGGCUGAAGCAGAGGAUGAAAUCUGAAGGUUAGGAACCUAGGGUUAAUAACUUAAAAAAUUAUAAAAUUGUCCCUAUAUUUUUUAAUAUUUAUAUAUUAUACCCCCGGGUCGGGUACCCGCGGGUUUUGGCUUUUACGAUCCGUACCCGUAUCCGAAUGUUCCGGAUACCCGACCCUAUCUGAUCCGCUAAGAGAAAUCGGAUCGGAUAUCCUAUUUUUCGGUGCGGAUCGGGUCGGAUCUCUCGGGUUUUCGGGUCAGCGGGUAUUUUUGCCCAAUUGGAAAAUGAGAGAGAUGGGAAACUGGCUAGGGAACCAUCACUUUCCUUGCUUUUUAAUACAGGGCUUAAGGGUAUAAUACCACAUACCUAUUUUUAAAUGUUUGAUAUCAAUUCUUAGUAUUUAAGUGGAAAACUUCCACGAGUCAACUAAGAAUUAGUGGUAAUAGUCUGAAGAGUUAGAACCGAAAUGCAGGCUAAUACAAGCAUGUACUAGUUACUGGGCUAUUAGAACUCUUAAACAUUUUUAUAGUCUUUCUUCCCCAUUCAGGGGAUCCAUGUGGAGAAUUCGAUAGAUUGGUCAAGACCGGAUAGUGUUCUGGUCAAGCAUGGCUAGUGGACGAUCCCUUUUCUUGUUCUUUAAUUCAAGUUUCGGCCUUCAAUUAAGGGGUAAUAUAGAAAGAAUGGGAUUUAUAAUUAUUUUUUCUUUUUUUUUCUCUUCUUAUUCCUCAUUUUUUGUUCAUAGUUUACAAGUAAAACUGCAUAACUAUAAACUAUAAAUAUUGAUUCUAGUCGCUAUCAUUACCAAAUGUUGAAUUAGUGACCUUUUUUUGGACAACUUUGAAUGUGAUCUAAUUUUUUGUUGAUAUUUUUUUUCUUCGCACCAAAAACAACAGUGAUUUAAAAAGAAACUAUCCAAAACUACUACUAAAUUAUUGAUAUCUCUAACAUUUCAAAAAAUCUACAAACUCUAAAACAAUUAUGAUAAUACUUUCUUCUCCAACCUUCAGGGAAUAUGUACCCCUAGUAAAGCACUAUGUACAGUAGCCUAUCAUAGUGAUGAAACUAUUGUAAUAAUUGUUUAUUAAAUAAUAAAUAUAGGUAUUGAAAAUUUGAUGCUUUUUCUUUAUAGUUAUGCUAUAUAUCUUACAAUUGUUUUGGAAAGCAAUAUAAACUAUAUAAACCAAGGACAUUUUAGGAUGUUCAUUUAAAUUUUUGACCAGGUCUAAGGUUUGAUUACCAAAUCUGUAAAAUCAAGGGAGGUAAGUACAAUUUUUAAAACCUCAAGGGAGCUUAGUGAGAUUAUCUGAAACCUUAGAGGAGGUUUAUGAAAUUAUCCCUGCUUAUAAUCAACUUUGAAGUGCUACAAUCAACAUACUGGGCAACGAGAAUAAACUCCAAACUAUGAAAGUACAUGAUUUGGAAUGAUUAUAACAAAACCAGUAAUAUACUUCACCUAGGUUGCUGAAAAUUAUUGGGCAACACAGGAUCCGUUUAGAGGUGGGCCGAAGUGAGAAAAAGUCCACAACGCACCACAACUUUAAACUGGGGAAGUUUUGGGCUUUUUAUUUGAUGUUCGAAAGGUUUAGUAUUUGGUGUUCGAAAGCCGUACAAUUUAGUUCAUUAAACCCUAGUUUUAACCUUUUUGGGAUCAAAUAUUGUUUGGGGUAUCCACAAUUACCCUUUAUUACACCGAUGCAUUGUAAACUCUCCCUUAGUAAGAUUAUAAUGCCUAUUACACGCAUAACAAUCACUACAUGCAUAAUUGAAGCAAAAAAAGCUGAAAGAGUGGGUCUCAUUUGUCCAAUUAUUCAAAGCUUUGCAAAGGUUUCAUUUUAUCCAAUUAUUCAAAACUUUGCAGUGGUCCCUUGAAUCCAAUUUUCAACAUGUUUGCAAUGGUAAAAUAAUGGUAGCAUUGUUUCAAUUUCACCAGUUUGCAACAGUAAUUCUUUUUUCACUUUCAAUUGUCAAAAUUUUGUCUAUAAAUAUUGUUAACGUUUUCUCAAUUUCUUACUCUCCCACUCCAUCAUUUCUCCUACUGCAUCAUUUGUUUUCUUUAACCUCUUAUCUAAUUUUUUAAAGCAUUGGGUAUUUGUUUAAUAAUUACCUAAUUAUUUUUAGCAAAUAACAAUGCAUUUUUUGAAAUCCAUAAAAAUAUAUACUGUUAGCUUUCAAAACUUAAUAAUAUUAUUUUUUAGAAAAUAAAAAAUUUAUAGAAUACAAAAUUUUCAACAAAAGUUAAUAAUAUUUUUCCAAAAUAAAUGUAAUUAUUUUUCAGAAAAUAGAUCUAUUUAUUUACGAGAUAUGUGUUGAGAACUAUUAAAAUAAAUACAUGAUUUGAUUAUGGGUCCACGCUAUUAUACUAUGUAGAGUGUAAUCUACAGUGAGUGAUAAUAUAAUGAAAGAGGGGAUAAUAAAGUAAUGAUAUAGCAUAUGAAUUGUACUCUUCCAUUGUAAAUGCCCUUAAGACACCUUCAAGACUCUUUCUCGUUUUCAUAUAUUUUUUUCAGAGUUAAGCAUCGAGAUUUAUCUUACCCUACUGCUAUACUGUGGGAAGGAGAGUGCCCAAGUGAGUUGUGUGAAGGAGUUGGUGGUGGAUACUGGAUAGUAUAGUACCGUGCCCUUUAGAUUUAUAAGAGAAUGGAAGCCAAGUUUACUUGUAUACGCACCGAGCGAGACAUGGAGCCUCAACUUGAUGCACGAGGGAGACUUUGAGAAGUCCUCCUUUCUUGUUUGUUACUUUGUAUGCUAGUUUCCUUACAUUUAUAUGUUUUCUUAUUGUUGAGAAAGGGGUUUGCUCCGGGUUCUUAAACGCUGAUAUUUCAGCUGCAUGUUGGCAGAACAUUAUGCUAGUUUUAUUCAACUAAAUUUCGUUCUUAAGUGAGCCGAGAAAAUUUGUUUGUUUUCUUCUUUUUGGUUGGUUCAUGUCAGAUUUAGCCAACAUUUUAAAGUAAUUUUGUUGAUUUGGACUCAUUCAUACUCAUUGUGUAGUUGAGGAGGGCCAUAUUGGGAAAUAUGAAGUUUGAAUUCUUUAAGUGACUCAAUUGUUAAAUACUAAAUUUGAUAUAUUUGAGUAUAUAUAUCAUCACAUUGAAUGAUAAAGUAAAUAACUUAUCACUUAUUUUUUAGAACAAAUUUUACUAAAAAUUCAGUACCAGUUAAUUAAUUCACAUGUUCUAUUUUUUUUUGUUAUCAAACAUAUCUAACACGUUAAGGUCUAAACCCAUUAGCUUUAGGUGUUGAAUUGAGCUAUCAAAUAAGGUCUAUAAGACUUUCAGCUCAUAAAAAUCGAAAGCAAUAUUUGCAUGUUGGCUUGGUUACCGAGGUUUUCUGGUAUCUAAUUACCAAGUUAAGCAGAAAGAACAAAAGGGGAAAAAAAAAAAGAAAUAGAAGAAAAAGCAUCAGUCAUAGGUUUGCAUUUGUGUUUUCUUUGAAAUUUAGAAAGAAAACAAAUUAAUUUAGAGCAACAAAACACUAAAAUCUCUCCUCUGGUUCUCCGUUGGGCAAUACUCUUAGCAUUCAUGUUUAGUUUUUUUUUUUGUAUCGCAACAAUAACAUUUGUAGCAUUCAUGUUUAGUUGAUUAGUUUUGGAUUUUUUUGCUUCAGCAAGAACAUGUUCAAGUUAGCUCUCCAAAUUUCUUCGGUUGUUUUCUUUCUUAUUCACAUUCAAGUCCCAAACCACCAAAAUUUGACCAACGAGGUUAAUAAUCAUGACUAUUAUUUUCCAAUAUUAAUGACCAUGAGCGUUAAAGUAAACGCACGCCAAAAAGAAAAGAGAAUCAGGGCUUCAACCGUUGAAGUAGUCGAAUUAGAUGGAUAAUUAUCUUCUGCAAUGUAAGCAGCACCACACACAAAUAUAGAUACUAAGAUAAUAACAUGAUAAGACACAACAAAUUUUGUUAUCGGUCGAAAGUUGUCCUACAAUAAUCUUGUUCAUCCUCAAAUUAAACUUAUUCCAACCAUCAACUUUUUUUUUUUUUAAUCAUUCAUGUGCCAAUUGCAUAGAACCCCAACCUGCAGUCCAGCAAAAAUGAAACAAAUUUAACCAGUGCCAGCCAGCUACUCUUGCAAAUAAGGAGAAUGAUAUUCAAUUUUUGCAGAAAAGCCUGGAUUAGAGAAGCAGAGGAGUCUCCUAAUUAAUAAUAGUACUUUUUCAAGUGUCAUGACUGACAAAGUCUAUGCCCUUAUAGUCUUACUUGGGCUAUUGAAAAUUAUUUCAAGUCUAAUAAUUAAUCUUUCUUCCACGUUCAAGGAGGGUCCAUUUGUUCGGGUCAAGCACGGCCACAGAAUGGUCUCUUUUCAAGCUCUUUAAUACCGGCUUCACAGCCAUUGGGUAUUUGGCCUGGUGGCCACCACUAAAUUGUCAUUAUAUGCGACAGUUUUAAUUGAUCUUUUAUGGAAUUUUUAUUCACAUCGAAUUCCCUUGAUUAGGUUAUAGGCAUCCUCCCUCUCCUAGAAUAGGUUAGAUUAGAUUAUAGGAAUCCUAUUUUUGAGACAAAAAUAAAAAAAAAAUACUAGUUUCACAAGUAAUACGUACAUUUUAAAGUUUGAUUUCUAUUUGGGCAUUAUUUACAUAAAAGAAUAUGGUCAUACUAUUAUACAUGUGUUGAUGCAUCUUUCUCCAGAUGGAGGAACAAAAUAUAAUUCAAUCUUAAACUCAUGAAUUAUUUCUAACCAAACACCGGAAGUAACGCAAAAAUAUUUGAUCGGUGUAAGAAAACAGGCCUAAGUUUUGUAUACAGCCAAUACUUUUAUGCAAUGGGAGGCAAUUCUUAGGUAAAAUUUUGUUUUGAUCCCUUGAACGUUAGAUGUACUUCAUAUUAUACCCUAAACUUCAUUUUUUGACACUGCACCCUUUAAAGUAUAAAACUCAUCCCACUUUAUUCCUUAAACUUUAUUUCUGGAUAGUUCCCCCCCCCCCCCACAAGACGCGAACUCCUUCUCAUUUUAGUUCUUGAAUGUUGAGCAUCACUUACCUACCGUUUCAUUAGUUUUGACAAUUCUAUGGAAAAGAGUUGAUAUUUGAGGGGAUACAGUGUCUAAAAAUGAAGUUUACGAAUUAAAGUGGAUAAAUUUCAUACUUAAAGGAAGUAAAAUAUCCAAAAUUAAAAUUUAAGGACCAAAAUAGGAAUGUGUUUAUAGUGUAAGGGUCCAAAAUUAAUUGCAUAUUUCACAAGCAUUUCCACCCUAUGAAAGGAAGAUUCAAAUUAACGUAACUAUCCCAAUCCCCACAUAGCAUGCUUUCGUGUAGAUAGAUAGUAAUUAUUGUACUUCCAAUUUAAUUUCAAUAUAUCUUGAUGCCACGAGAAGUAUGGAUGCCCAUUAAUCUAGUUUGAACAAGUCCUUCAAAUUACAUUACACACAGAUUUCAAAGUCUAUAAAGUGUUCAUAAGGCUUAAAGAAAUGAAGAAAAAUAAGGCUUGCAAGGUAGAAAUAUGCGCAACCUUUUUACGUGACAAUGUUGAUAAUGACAUUAUUGCACAAGUCACUUGACCGUCUCAUCUCGGCUUGUAAUGGCGAUUUCAUGGACUAGUGCCCAUCACACUCUCUGUGAUAGGCUAAAAAGGAUGAAAGCCAGUCAAGAAAGCGACCUAAAGAUGUAAAUUUUUUCGUCCUUUUAAUUCCCAAUUCGCGUAUUGACUCUGUUGAACUUAUUGCUUACAUUACGCUUUUUACUUGAAAGCAAAUUGAAAUAUUUUGUGUUCGAGUACUUCAGCAACCAUAGAUAUUAUUUUAUUUGCAAAAAAAUUAUUUGAUUGCAUUAUAGUAAACACAUUUUUCAAUCAAUUUUUUUAUUCUUUUAAUUAUCAUUUAAUCUCAUAUAUGUUGUACUACUAAAAAUGCUACAAUAAUUUUCCAAAAUAUUAUUUCAAAUAAUCUCCUGUUUAAACACACUCCAUGUUGUUCGCUUUUAUCUUAGGAUUAGAGUGAUACACUGUGUCUGGGUAUUAGUUUCCCUAGCAAUCACAAGUACAUUGGAGUUUAUUUGGUGGAUCUUACAAUACUAUGAAUUUUGAAGUUCAAAACAAAAAAAAUCAUCCACCCAUAGAGAGCCAAAUUAAUCAUUUGCAAGUACAGAUCUCCCAGUGAUUUUGCUUAAUGUUUUAUAAACUUCUAGCAUGGAUGGCCUUCUUGCCGGAUCAGAUUGAAUGCAGUCAACUGCAAUUCUAACAAACUCAAGGAUCUCGUCUUUAUAUGCUUGCAUAAUCUCAUCCGAAUCAUA